RNAcentral lists this small RNA (824 nucleotides) under Schizosaccharomyces pombe (fission yeast). Its description in RNAcentral is "small heterochromatic RNA precursor". The record is from RNAcentral. Lineage: Eukaryota; Fungi; Ascomycota; Schizosaccharomycetes; Schizosaccharomycetales; Schizosaccharomycetaceae.
AAUAAAUGAGUCCUACUCCUACACCUACUCUUAUCACUUGUAAUCCAAAAAAGCUCCAUUUCUUUCUUAUACGCUAAUUCACUAUUAAAUAUAAAUGUAUAUGCAAAACAGCGAGAAAUUUGUAGAUACGUUGGAUGUUGUUGCUUUCACAUUUGCAACUCUUAGUAGUUGUUCAAAACAACAAUGUCGAGCAAAGAUGUUUGCGAUGUUUGAAUGAUUCUUGGAUUGUAUUUGGAUUCCAUCGGUACUAUGGCCUGUUGAUUCGGCACCUUUGUCAUUUUAGCAACUUUUGUUUUCUUUUCUGUGUCGAUGUAGUUCUCUAUACCAUAUUCAUGUUCAUAUCAAUGUCCAUAUCAAGAGGUCCCAUGUUCCAUUACAUAUCCCGUGUUCUUUCCUUCUUCCAGCUUUUACAUGCUAGCCUUUUAUACAAUGAUUCCUCUCAUCUCGACUCGUUUGAUGAAUGGGCGUUUAGUUUUUGCAACAACAUAUGCGUUGGGUUAUCUCAUAUCCGGGAAACACUUUCUGCCACUUUUAACUUGAACAAAGUNGGAGAAAUAAANUGAUGGCACGAUAUUGCAAGUUGUUUAUGGUGUGCCNUGUAGAAAUGUAAAAACGCUAUGUUUCGNGAAUGCCCANGCCCGUNAAUCGAAAUAAGNAUCUCCNUAUCUAUUANGCNUUGGNAGANCACCACUGNAAAAAACACNNAAACGGGUNGGNCNCCUCNCACGNCGUUCNCCCGNUANUCCCAANCAUGNAAACCUAAUAUACCGGUAACCUUNGCACCUAUUAAGANAANCGCCCCCAAGUGGACUGNAAUUAANNAU